AGUGAACGCUGGCGGUAGGCCUAACGCAUGCAAGUCGAACGGCAGCACAGGAGAGCUUGCUCUCUGGGUGGCGAGUGGCGGACGGGUGAGGAAUACAUCGGAAUCUACUCUGUCGUGGGGGAUAACGUAGGGAAACUUACGCUAAUACCGCAUACGACCUACGGGUGAAAGCAGGGGAUCUUCGGACCUUGCGCGAUUGAAUGAGCCGAUGUCGGAUUAGCUAGUUGGCGGGGUAAAGGCCCACCAAGGCGACGAUCCGUAGCUGGUCUGGGAGGAGGGUCAGCCACACUGGAACUGGGACACGGUCCAGACUCCUACGGGAGGCAGCAGUGGGGAAUAUUGGGCAAUGGGCGCAAGCCUGAUCCAGCCAUACCGCGUGGGUGAAGAAGGCCUUCGGGUUGUAAAGCCCUUUUGUUGGGAAAGAAAUCCAGCUGGCUAAUACCCGGUUGGGAUGACGGUACCCAAAGAAUAAGCACCGGCUAACUUCGUGCCAGCCGCCGCCGUAA
RNAcentral lists this ribosomal RNA (506 nucleotides) under uncultured bacterium. Its description in RNAcentral is "partial 16S ribosomal RNA". It matches the Rfam family "Bacterial small subunit ribosomal RNA", at positions 29 to 523 of the family's 1533-position model. The record is from RNAcentral.